ACGUGUGCAUCUCCAAUCUCCAGCCCGACUGCAUCUUCCUCCCGAUCUCUCUCCUGCGAUCUCUCUCCCUCUCUCUGCCACAUCCCCUCUGUGGCGGGCAGGGUAGCGAGCGGCGUCGCUGACGCCAGAGCAGGCCGCACGGCGCUAACGAAGCAGGGCCGCGCUAGGCAGUCCCGAAACACUUAUGUCCCGACCGCAUCUUCUCUCUCCCGAUCUACGUCCGGUCUCGAUCUCGUCCACCCGCUGCGGCCUCCGCCUGCCAAGGCCGCCACUGCUCCGGUCGCCAAGAUCCAUGGACGGCCCCCGCGUAGCCACCAUCGAAUUCCCGGCCCGCCGACGUUCCCCCCGUCCAUGGACCGUCCCAUCACCGCCCAGCCGCCGUCGCAGCCCUGCCCCGAGUCGCCCCGCCGUUGAAGACCAGCAUCACCGCCGUCGUCUCCUCGCAGCCUGCCCCACAUCAUCGCCGCCGUCGCAGCUCGGCCCCGGGUUUCUGGCUGUUCAUCGAAUCACAAAUCUAAUAGACUUGAAGAGAAGGCUGGGCAUUGGCCGCCGUUGUUGCUGGUACUUCCAUCCUACGAUAGCAGAGCUGGAGUAAUAUGCAGAGAGUCAUGUUGACCACUGUUUGCUGAAUCAUCGGCGCUGUCUUCCUCCAGCUUCUACUCCAAAGAGCUGCAUCGCCGGCCUACUGGGACCAUAGAUGGAGAUGACAUGUGUGUCAGCUUGUAUGAGUUAACGUUCUUGUAAUAAUUAGUACGAAAUGCAGAGAUGACAGUAGCAAAAAUAGGAGAUAAUUAGCAGGAAAUGUUCUGAGAUGGCAGACAUGACCCAACCAAAUGCUUGUAUGAGUUGUAAUAGUAGCAAUGAGUGGUGUAUCUCAUUUUGUUCCUGAAAAUUCAAUUUACAAUAGUAGCAAUGAGUGUAUGUAUGCAAGUUACAGUUAUGAAAUAUAUGCAAAUGCAAGUGAUACAAUUUUGUGCGCCUGGA
This is a long non-coding RNA of Brachypodium distachyon (stiff brome), 984 nucleotides long. RefSeq lists it as uncharacterized. Lineage: Eukaryota; Viridiplantae; Streptophyta; Magnoliopsida; Poales; Poaceae. The transcript is spliced from 3 exons. The record is from RefSeq and is a predicted model, not a curated record.